Molecule: unclassified non-coding RNA, 329 nt
Filed under: soil metagenome
Description: partial contains 5.8S ribosomal RNA, internal transcribed spacer 2, and large subunit ribosomal RNA
Rfam family: 5.8S ribosomal RNA (bases 1-120)
Source: RNAcentral
GAUGAAGAACGUAGCGAAAUGCGAUAAGUAAUGUGAAUUGCAGAAUUCAGUGAAUCAUCGAAUCUUUGAACGCACAUUGCGCCCCUUGGUAUUCCGAGGGGCAUGCCUGUUCGAGCGUCAUUAUAACCCCUCAAGCUCAGCUUGGUGUUGGGGCCUGCUGCACUGGCAGCCCUUAAAAUCAGUGGCGGCGCCAUCUGGCUCUAAGCGUAGUAAUUCUUCUCGCUAUGGAGUCCUGGUGGAUGCUUGCCAUCAACCCCCAAUUUUUCUAUGGUUGACCUCGGAUCAGGUAGGGAUACCCGCUGAACUUAAGCAUGUCAAUAAGCGGAGGA